GUUAAAUGGCCGCAGUAUUUUGACUGUGCGAAGGUAGCAUAAUAAUUAGUUUUUUAAUUGAAAGCUGGAAUGAAUGAUUGGACGAGAAAGAAUCUGUCUCAAUUUUAUUUAAUUAGAAUUUUAUUUUUAAGUAAAAAAGCUUAAAUAUUUUUAAAAGACGAGAAGACCCUAUAGAGUUUUAUAUAUUUAUUUUUAUUUAUUUUUUAGUAUUAUAGAAUUUAUAUAAUUAAAUAGUAUUUAGUUGGGGUGAUUAAAAAAUUAAUUUAACUUUUUUUUUAUUAUUACAUUAAUAUAUGAGUAAUUGAUCCAUUUUUUAUGAUUAUAAGAUUAAAUUACCUUAGGGAUAACAGCGUUAUUUUUUUUUAGAGUUCUUAUCGAAAAAAAAGUUUGCGACCUCGAUGUUGGAUUAAAAUUAAUAUUUGGUGAAGAAGCUAAGUUAUUAGGUCUGUUCGACCUUUAAAAUUUUACA
This 469-nucleotide ribosomal RNA is filed under the name Pleophylla sp. BNHM834734. RNAcentral's name for it is "partial 16S ribosomal RNA". The stretch from base 343 to 469 matches the Rfam family "Bacterial large subunit ribosomal RNA", at positions 2473 to 2600 of the family's 2925-position model. Lineage: Eukaryota; Metazoa; Arthropoda; Insecta; Coleoptera; Scarabaeidae. RNAcentral also lists the same sequence under 1 other name. The record is from RNAcentral.